Molecule: ribosomal RNA, 497 nt
Filed under: uncultured bacterium
Lineage: Bacteria
Description: partial 16S ribosomal RNA
Rfam family: Bacterial small subunit ribosomal RNA
Source: RNAcentral
GAUGAACGCUGGCGGCGUGCCUAAUACAUGCAAGUCGAGCGAACGGACGAGAAGCUUGCUUCUCUGAUGUUAGCGGCGGACGGGUGAGUAACGCGUGGAUAACCUACCUAUAAGACUGGGAUAACUUCGGGAAACCGGAGCUAAUACCGGAUAAUAUUUUGAACCGCAUGGUUCAAAAGUGAAAGACGGUCUUGCUGUCACUUAUAGAUGGAUCCGCGCUGCAUUAGCUAGUUGGUAAGGUAACGGCUUACCAAGGCAACGAUGCAUAGCCGACCUGAGAGGGUGAUCGGCCACACUGGAACUGAGGCACGGUCCAGACUCCUACGGGAGGCAGCAGUAGGGAAUCUUCCGCAAUGGGCGAAAGCCUGACGGAGCAACGCCGCGUGAGUGAUGAAGGUCUUCGGAUCGUAAAACUCUGUUAUUAGGGAAGAACAUAUGUGUAAGUAACUGUGCACAUCUUGACGGUACCUAAUCAGAAAGCCACGGCUAACUACGUG